This 460-nucleotide ribosomal RNA is filed under the name uncultured Bacteroidota bacterium. RNAcentral's name for it is "bacterial SSU rRNA". It matches the Rfam family "Bacterial small subunit ribosomal RNA", at positions 338 to 795 of the family's 1533-position model. The record is from RNAcentral. Lineage: Bacteria; Pseudomonadati; Bacteroidota.
CCUACGGGUGGCUGCAGUGAGGAAUAUUGGUCAAUGGGCGCAAGCCUGAACCAGCCAUCCCGCGUGAAGGAAGAAGGCGCUAUGCGUUGUAAACUUCUUUUGCAGGUCAAGAAUGUUAUCUACGAGUAGGUAAUUGACGGUAACCUGUGAAUAAGCAUCGGCUAACUCCGUGCCAGCAGCCGCGGUAAUACGGAGGAUGCGAGCGUUAUCCGGAUUUAUUGGGUUUAAAGGGUGCGUAGGCGGAAUAAUAAGUCAGUGGUGAAAUCCUGCAGCUUAACUGUAGCAUUGCCGUUGAUACUGUUAAUCUUGAGUAUGGUUAAGGUAGGCGGAAUGUGUAAUGUAGCGGUGAAAUGCUUAGAUAUUACACAGAACACCGAUUGCGAAGGCAGCUUACUGAACCAUAACUGACGCUGAGGCACGAAAGCGUGGGGAGCGAACAGGAUUAGAUACCCCGGUAGUC